This is a non-coding RNA of Microcebus murinus (gray mouse lemur), 814 nucleotides long. Lineage: Eukaryota; Metazoa; Chordata; Mammalia; Primates; Cheirogaleidae. The record is from RefSeq and is a predicted model, not a curated record.
AGGUCCACGUUUCCCAGUUCUCUCUUGCAAUCCCUCUGAGAAGCAGCGUGGGGCACCAGGUGCUAUCGUUUCUGGCAGGUGUUUGCUUGCACCUCAGGUACGUUUAAGGAAAACGUGGCUGUGAACUCCAUCCGAGCUGUGGCCAUCCCUCCCGCCCCCAUUGUGAGCAAAAGCUCAGGUGGGAGGGAUGGGGCGGGUGGUUCAGGCUGCCUCAAAGGGGGCUGUUUCAGCAAGAUUGUUUGAUGCAACAUGUCAGGCCAGGCGGCAUCCUCAACAGAGUCUGUUCUGACGGAAUCUCAGAAGUCUCUCCCAGAGCGCCUUGGUCAGCAGAGAGAACUUGCUCAUAGAACUCACCAGAGCCAUGAGGUGGAAAAGCCAUCGUCCUCCCUCCCUGGUCACCACGGCUGACAGAGGUUCCACAACAACCUUGGAAAGUAGAUAGAAUGAAAAGCAUCAGCCGCAUUUCACAGAUGAGAAAACUGAGACAAAGGCUGAAAGUAAUAUGCUCCUUCGGCAAACGCACAAAUGACUUCGCUCAAACAACUUCUUCCAGUGGCAGCAUUUUGUGUGAGCUUCUGGUCAAUGCCACGUCCAGAUGGCUAUCCCUGUUGCACAAUGGAGAAUCACAGUGUUGAGUCUGUGUAAAGAGAAAUGGAAGAGAGUGGAUCAGAUGUUGCCCACGACUCUGUUUCCAAGAGGACAGGUUUACUGGGCAAGGGAAAGAUGUGAGGGGGUAGGACCAAAGGAGAUUCCUCCCCUCUUCCUGCUUUGUUUACCUUUAAGAUUCUCUUUAAUGAGCAUCCUUUAUUUUCUA